CAAAUUAAAGCUUUGUAAGCAUUUUAGUUACAUUAAAAAGAUUAUUGGAAUACAAUAUAAUUUGA
Molecule: transfer RNA, 65 nt
Filed under: Aclees taiwanensis
Lineage: Eukaryota; Metazoa; Arthropoda; Insecta; Coleoptera; Curculionidae
Description: tRNA-Val
Source: RNAcentral